RNAcentral lists this ribosomal RNA (897 nucleotides) under uncultured bacterium. Its description in RNAcentral is "bacterial SSU rRNA". It matches the Rfam family "Bacterial small subunit ribosomal RNA", at positions 89 to 988 of the family's 1533-position model. The record is from RNAcentral.
UGACGACCGGCGCACGGGUGCGUAACGCGUAUAGAACCUACCUUUAACUGAGGGAUAGCCCAGAGAAAUUUGGAUUAAUACCUCAUAGUAUUAUUGAUUGGCAUCGAUUAAUGAUUAAAGAUUUAUUGGUUAGAGAUGGCUAUGCGUCUUAUUAGCUAGUUGGUUAGGUAACGGCUAACCAAGGCAACGAUAAGUAGGGGUCCUGAGAGGGAGAUCCCCCACACUGGUACUGAGACACGGACCAGACUCCUACGGGAGGCAGCAGUGAGGAAUAUUGGACAAUGGAGGCAACUCUGAUCCAGCCAUGCCGCGUGUAGGAAGACUGCCCUAUGGGUUGUAAACUACUUUUAUAGAGGAAGAAACCCCAGUAUGUAUACUGGUCUGACGGUACUCUACGAAUAAGGAUCGGCUAACUCCGUGCCAGCAGCCGCGGUAAUACGGAGGAUCCAAGCGUUAUCCGGAAUCAUUGGGUUUAAAGGGUCCGUAGGCGGGUUUAUAAGUCAGUGGUGAAAGUUUGCGGCUCAACCGUAAAAUUGCCAUUGAUACUGUAGAUCUUGAAUUAUUGUGAAGUGGUUAGAAUGUGUAGUGUAGCGGUGAAAUGCAUAGAUAUUACACAGAAUACCGAUUGCGAAGGCAGAUCACUAACAAUUAAUUGACGCUAAGGGACGAAAGCGUGGGUAGCGAACAGGAUUAGAUACCCUGGUAGUCCACGCUGUAAACGAUGGUUACUAGCUGUUUGAUUUUCGGAUUGAGUGGCUAAGCGAAAGUGAUAAGUAACCCACCUGGGGAGUACGUUCGCAAGAAUGAAACUCAAAGGAAUUGACGGGGCCCGCACAAGCGGUGGAGCAUGUGGUUUAAUUCGAUGAUACGCGAGGAACCUUACCAGGCUUAAAUGUA